AGAGGGUGCGAGCGUUGUUCGGAAUUAUUGGGCGUAAAGCGCGAGUAGGCGGUCUGUUAAGUCGCGUGUGAAAGCUCCCGGCUCAACCGGGAAAGUGCGCGCGAAACUGGCGGGCUUGAGUGCCGGAGAGGGUGGCGGAAUUCCCGGUGUAGAGGUGAAAUUCGUAGAUAUCGGGAGGAACACCAGAGGCGAAGGCGGCCACCUGGAAGGACACUGACGCUGAGAAGCGAAAGCGUGGGGAGCAAACAGGAUUAGAUACCCUGGUAGUCCACGCCGUAAACGAUGGGUGCUAGCUGUAGCGGGAGUUGACCCCCGCUGUGGCGACGCUAACGCAAUAAGCACCCCGCCUGGGAAGUACGGCCGCAAGGCUA
This 371-nucleotide ribosomal RNA is filed under the name uncultured bacterium. RNAcentral describes it as "bacterial SSU rRNA". It matches the Rfam family "Bacterial small subunit ribosomal RNA", at positions 527 to 896 of the family's 1533-position model. The record is from RNAcentral.